AGGACGAACGCUGGCGGCGUGCGUAAUACAUGCAAGUCGAGCGGACUCGGAUUUCGGUCCGAGUUAGCGGCGGACGGGUGAGUAACGCGUGAGUGACCUAGCCUGGUGGUGGGGGAUAACUGCCCGAAAGGGUGGCUAAUCCCGCAUGGGCCCUCUGGGUCGGACCAGAGGGGAAAGCUUCGAAAGAGGCGCCCGAGGGGGGGCUUGCGUCCCAUUAGGUGGUUGGUGGGGUAGUGGCCUACCAAGCCGAUGAUGGGUAGCUGGUCUGAGAGGAUGGCCGGCCACACUGGGACUGAGAGACGGCCCAGACUCCUACGGGGGGCAGCAGUAAGGGAUCUUCGCCAAUGGCC
Molecule: ribosomal RNA, 350 nt
Filed under: uncultured bacterium
Lineage: Bacteria
Description: SSU rRNA
Rfam family: Bacterial small subunit ribosomal RNA
Source: RNAcentral